This is a long non-coding RNA of Gallus gallus (chicken), 3930 nucleotides long. The record is from Ensembl. Lineage: Eukaryota; Metazoa; Chordata; Aves; Galliformes; Phasianidae.
UGCCCUAUUUUCUACAGAGAAUCACACAUACUGCCAAAACUCCACUAUUAGGUCUUAAACCUGCUCCAUCUGCUGCCUGAGCUGGUUGCAUGGACCAUAAUGAGCACGCUGCCACUUCCAGCACCCAGCAGUGAUUGAUGCUGUGUUAAGAGGACACCAGUGGUUCCGGUCUAUUUACAUUUCCAGGGAGCUUGGCUGCGUUUUGUGCUGUCAUUUUCUUCUGGUAUACCAGCUGUGGGAGACCAAAGGGUACAAAAAUUAUUGCAGUGCUCCAGCAAGAAAAUGCUACUGUUGAGAAAACAUCCUAUUGAUGCCACAUUUUUAAAAGGAGCUCCUCUUUAAGCGUUUUAAAGAGCUGCCACCAGCAACAAGCAAAGCUGCUAAUUUGGCCUGGCAAGUGGGGUUUGCUAAACACCAUUUCAGAUUUUAAUUCAUCACAUGUAGAUUUGGAAUUGGAAUUCUACUAGCAAAACCAUCAUCAGCGUGUUUUUGCAGUUCCAGCUCCCUUUCUUUUCACAGUAAGCCUGUCUCCCCCUCUCCCGCUCUGCCUUCUACAGCUGUCAGCUGUCAUCAGCCAGAAGCACAGAUGAGACAGUGCCAGCCCUGCAGAUCUGACCCAAUCUCCUGUCAAACAGAUGCACAGGCCCCAGCUCCUGCUUGCUCCCCAUUUCCUUGUUUGUCUGCAGAAGAUGCAUGCAAAGGGAGAAACCAAAUGUUUCAUGGGAAGAAAAAGCAGAACCAGAAAGCUCUUCUGCUUCACGUUUCUGAUAUUUUGUUAUCUGCCUAUUUACUAUUUUACAUGGCUCACUACUGUAGGUGAAGAUUCCAUUGUAAUGACUUCCAAACAUCAGAUCCCAGCUUUUUUAGGAACUGAGAUUCUCAGAAUUCAUUGGAGACUAAGGAGCUGGUAAUGCUUUUGCCAAGAGAUCUGAGCUGGCUACCAGGAAGAGGGCAGGUUUCCUACCCUGCCUUUGCUGAGCAGGGGAGAUGAGCUGAAAUUCCCAGGGAAAGGAGCUGUCUGGAUCCAAGGAAAGGAGUCAUGUUUUGAAAACUGCUUUCUAAAUGAGUCAGUGGAGCUAUCUCCCAAGGCACUGGAGCCUGCCAGAGGGAAGAGCAGAUAGUUUUGUUGUUUCUUUUCCCUUUCCGCUGUUGAGAUCGAUUAUUCACCAUCUUGAAGUACGUCACCAGCCUCGGGAAGCUGUUUUUUGACUAGAAUACUUCUUGACUUUUCUAUUUCUGAGGAAGUUUUCCAGCCUGACUUGCUGCUGCUUUGUCAAAGCCAUUCCGUGACAGUAAAGUUUGGAGGGAAAAACAGAGCAGGACAACAGGCGAUGCCUUCAGGCCUGGCCUACUGAUGCUUUUUCAUUCGAGGCAGGGAAAGCUGCAGCCACUAAAGCAGUCUUCACCGGAAGGACACACUGAAGUCUUGCUCCCUUCUGAAACAUCUCCUUCCACUCUUUCUUCCAUCCUCUAUUUCACAGGUAUCGGAUUCUUUUCUUUCUAAGACAACCUCGCUGAUAUUCAUGUAAUUAAAUAUUGAGAAGUCAUUCUCAACUUGGCUUUUACUUUGCUUUAAAGGACUUACUUCAAAGUCUGCUGCUUCUAUUUCAGUCCUGAAGGGAAAGGAAGGGCCAAAAACAUGUCCUUUAUCCUGGAACAGCCACUCUAAGAAAGAUGUGCUCUCUUUUGCCUUCAGUUUUUCCACUCAAGGUCAUUGACGUAGAAAAAUGCCUUUCAAGACACACAGUAAAUGCCUCAGCUCUUCAAGUGAAGACUCAUUCAACACAAUCACCAUUUCUGGAAGAGAUGUUUGAGCCUGAACAGGCUCUUACACAUGGCAAAGUGUAAGCUCUUUAUGAGCCCAAAAUCUAAAAAUCAUACCUCCCCUCAGAUAUCUAAAGCCAUAGGCUCCAUCGGAGAUCUUUAUUUUGAUCUUUACCUCCACUUCUUCCUCUCUCAGUCCAAACGAAGCUCUCAGUUUUCCAUUCACACUAAUUACAAGUCAUCCUUUUUACCAAAAAGGCUAGCUAUUUCUUCAUCUCUGCAAGUCACUCACCCUUAUCCUUCUAAUUGCUUGCUUGAUUAGCAUAAUUAAGUUGAACUCAGAGUAAUUGUUCCUGACCUAGGGAUGGACUUGUGUGCUAACAAGCAAAUCUGUGCCAUCUCUUCAGUCAGGCUGGUGAAACACUUGAACUCUUUUUACAGGCUUCACUGCAAUGCCUCCUAAGGCAGAAUGCUGUGUUGCGUUUUGUAAGCCCUUUGCCUUGAAUGAAUGUACGUCACUAAGAAACAGCUUGACAGUAAAACAGUCAGAAUGGCAGUAUGUGAAAAUUGGUGGCUGGCCACACUCGGGUGGGAUUAGCUCCAUCAGAUGAGACACAAUGAAUGCUAAUUUGGCCUCUGACAGCAGGGCAAGUCUGAGACUACCUCAUAAGGCUGAAUGUGUACAAAUCUAUCGGGAUGGAUGGCAUGCAUCCCAGGGUUCUAAAGGAAUUAGAUGAUGUGGUUGCCGAGCCACUCAGCAUCACAUUUGAAGCUGUGGCUGCCAGGUGAAGUCCCUGGUGACUGGAAAAAGAGAAACAACAUUCCCAUUUUUAAGAAAGCAAGAAAAAGAAGACUACAGGACGGUAAGCCUCACUUCUGCGCCUGGAAGAUCGUGGAACAGAUCCUCCUAGAAAACAUGUUAAGGCACAUGAGACAUGAGCAGAUGAUUCAAGACACCCAGCAUGGCUCCAAUGCCAUAUUAUGCAUGACCUAUCUGGUGGUCUUCUGUGAUGAAGUGACAGCAUCAGUGGACCUAGGAAAGGAAACUGAUGUCAUUUACCCGGACUUGUGCAAGGCCUUUGACAUGGCUCCACACCACAUCUCUAUCUCUAAAUUGGAGGAUCCUAACCCUAACCCCCAGCGCAAGAAGGAUGUGAAGUUGUUGGAGCAGGUCCCAACGAGGGCCACAAAGAUGAUCAGAGGGCUGGAGCACCUCCCCUGUGAAGAAAGGUUGAGAGAGCUGGGCUUGUUUAGCUUGGAGAAGAGAAGGCUCAAAGCUCAUCCAUAUGCCCUUCAAGGGAAGAAAUGACUCAUACCUGACUCACAAUCGCUCAAGCAAAGCUGCAACCUUUCAUUCAUUUCCUGGGAGAAGCAUCUGUUAGAUUCAUCUUGGAAGAUUAAGCAUUUCUCACCAUCAUUUUACAGAUGAAGGCAUUUGUGACUGGCUAAGGAAGGGUCAACAGAUUCCCUGCAAUGGAUGGAAAACAAGCUUGUCUGGGCAGUUGAAGCUGCGCAGUGGGGACAGUGAAGAUGCUCUUCACGCUCCCUGCACAUUACCCCUGCCCUGUCACUGUUUCUCCCUGACUGAUUAACAGUCACUCAGGAAAUUGCUCGCGUGUCUUCCUUCCCUGACUGUAGAAUUGCAGCCUCUGCGUUGCCUAUCGGGGAAUAAAUAACAAAUGUACCAUGAGGCUGCUUUAGAAACCACCUUGUUUCAUUGAGCUUGCAGCUUCUCACUUCCACAGCCUUCCCAGCUGCUCCUGCACCCCAAGGCCCCUUCCUAGAACGUCCCUUCAUUCCCAGAGGACAAAAAGGAGUAAAACUGGAGUGUUACUGAAAACCUUUUUUUUUUUUUUGCUAUCUUCUCUCAAAGGAGUGUUAGUUCUCUUUUGUCUGACACCCUACAUAUCCUAUAACUUCAGGUUCCUAAAGAUACUUGUGUCUGCCAAGUAUCUCCCCUUUUUUCUUUAUAGGAACAGAAAGACCCAGCAAGGUUACUGCCCUGAUUCAUUGGAUGCGCAAGUCUAAGGAGCAGAGGGACAUCACCCAGCCUUCCCCACAACUCCAUCAUAUUGAUGUAUAUAUACUGACAUCCCAACGAGCCCAUCACCGCCAUGGUAUAGGGCUUGGCUUUCUUCCUUAUGCUACCAAACAGUAAUAAAGUGC